Molecule: ribosomal RNA, 402 nt
Filed under: bacterium
Lineage: Bacteria
Description: partial 16S ribosomal RNA
Rfam family: Bacterial small subunit ribosomal RNA
Source: RNAcentral
UGGGGAAUUUUGCACAAUGGGGGAAACCCUGAUGCAGCGACGCCGCGUGAUUUAGAAGGCCUUCGGGUUGUAAAAAUCUUUUCUAUGGGAAGAAAAUGACAGUACCAUAGGAAUAAGGACCGGCUAAUUACGUGCCAGCAGCCGCGGUAAUACGUAAGGUCCGAGCGUUGUCCGGAAUCAUUGGGCGUAAAGGGUACGUAGGCGGGUAAGCAAGUUAGAAGUGAAAUCCUAUAGCUCAACUAUAGUAAGCUUUUAAAACUGCUCAUCUUGAGGUAUGGAAGGGAAAGUGGAAUUCCUAGUGUAGCGGUGAAAUGCGCAGAUAUUAGGAGGAAUACCGGUGGCGAAGGCGACUUUCUGGCCAUAACCUGACCCUGAGGUACGAAAGCGUGGGUAGCAAACAGG